AAACCAGCACCUCAAGUGGUCAGGAUGAUUAUUGGGCCUAAAGCAUCCGUAGCCUGUUCUAUAAGUUUCCGGUUAAAUCCAUUAGCUCAACUAAUGGGCUGCCGAAAAUACUGUAGAACUAGGGAGUGGGAGAGGUAGACGGUAUUCGGUAGGAAGGGGUAAAAUCCUUUGAUCUAUUGAGGACCACCUGUGGCGAAGGCGGUCUACCAGAACACGUUCGACGGUGAGGGAUGAAAGCUAGGGGAGCAAACCGGAUUAGAAACCCGAGUAGUCC
Molecule: ribosomal RNA, 274 nt
Filed under: uncultured bacterium
Lineage: Bacteria
Description: partial 16S ribosomal RNA
Rfam family: Archaeal small subunit ribosomal RNA
Source: RNAcentral